GCGUCUUCCUCAGCCGCGCAACAGUUUUGUUUGAAGCGUCAACACGUGCGGUAGUCACUCGUCCUUGGUCCUGCUACCCGAAUUUUGUCUGACAUUUGUGAAAGGACUCGCUGACUUUCGCGUAGCGCGAUCAAAAUAUACUCAUUGCAAUGUGCACGUCAGUCAGUCAGCAAUCGAAGCGAAUCGAAUCGAAUUCAACUGAAUAAAGUCUCAAGAAAUACGAAAAAUAAGAGGAAAAAACAAAAAAACCCAAUUCAGCCGAUUUAUUAAUGAUUUUUGUUGUUUUUGUUGCGUGCCGGCAUUAAUACAAAAUAGAAAAUAAACACAGAAUAAAGCGAAGCAGAAGGGCAAGUCGGGCGCUGAAUUAAUCAAAUUAAAAGUACUUGGCCGUGCAAUUACGCAGAAUGCCGUUUGCCUUUUAAGUUGCAUAUUGUUCGGCGAUCGAAGGAGGAGUGUGGCAGCAGCGCAGAGUGCAGCAGAGCGGAUUGGACUGGACUGGAGUGGAGCGCGGUGGAGUGGAGGAGCGGAAAAGCGC
Drosophila erecta is the source of this 535-nucleotide long non-coding RNA. RefSeq lists it as uncharacterized. The transcript is spliced from 2 exons. NCBI's taxonomy places the organism in Eukaryota, Metazoa, Arthropoda, Insecta, Diptera, Drosophilidae. The record is from RefSeq and is a predicted model, not a curated record.